Molecule: ribosomal RNA, 1876 nt
Filed under: Escherichia coli
Lineage: Bacteria; Pseudomonadati; Pseudomonadota; Gammaproteobacteria; Enterobacterales; Enterobacteriaceae
Description: partial 23S ribosomal RNA
Rfam family: Bacterial large subunit ribosomal RNA
Source: RNAcentral
GUUAAGCGACUAAGCGUACACGGUGGAUGCCCUGGCAGUCAGAGGCGAUGAAGGACGUGCUAAUCUGCGAUAAGCGUCGGUAAGGUGAUAUGAACCGUUAUAACCGGCGAUUUCCGAAUGGGGAAACCCAGUGUGUUUCGACACACUAUCAUUAACUGAAUCCAUAGGUUAAUGAGGCGAACCGGGGGAACUGAAACAUCUAAGUACCCCGAGGAAAAGAAAUCAACCGAGAUUCCCCCAGUAGCGGCGAGCGAACGGGGAGCAGCCCAGAGCCUGAAUCAGUGUGUGUGUUAGUGGAAGCGUCUGGAAAGGCGCGCGAUACAGGGUGACAGCCCCGUACACAAAAAUGCACAUGCUGUGAGCUCGAUGAGUAGGGCGGGACACGUGGUAUCCUGUCUGAAUAUGGGGGGACCAUCCUCCAAGGCUAAAUACUCCUGACUGACCGAUAGUGAACCAGUACCGUGAGGGAAAGGCGAAAAGAACCCCGGCGAGGGGAGUGAAAAAGAACCUGAAACCGUGUACGUACAAGCAGUGGGAGCACGCUUAGGCGUGUGACUGCGUACCUUUUGUAUAAUGGGUCAGCGACUUAUAUUCUGUAGCAAGGUUAACCGAAUAGGGGAGCCGAAGGGAAACCGAGUCUUAACUGGGCGUUAAGUUGCAGGGUAUAGACCCGAAACCCGGUGAUCUAGCCAUGGGCAGGUUGAAGGUUGGGUAACACUAACUGGAGGACCGAACCGACUAAUGUUGAAAAAUUAGCGGAUGACUUGUGGCUGGGGGUGAAAGGCCAAUCAAACCGGGAGAUAGCUGGUUCUCCCCGAAAGCUAUUUAGGUAGCGCCUCGUGAAUUCAUCUCCGGGGGUAGAGCACUGUUUCGGCAAGGGGGUCAUCCCGACUUACCAACCCGAUGCAAACUGCGAAUACCGGAGAAUGUUAUCACGGGAGACACACGGCGGGUGCUAACGUCCGUCGUGAAGAGGGAAACAACCCAGACCGCCAGCUAAGGUCCCAAAGUCAUGGUUAAGUGGGAAACGAUGUGGGAAGGCCCAGACAGCCAGGAUGUUGGCUUAGAAGCAGCCAUCAUUUAAAGAAAGCGUAAUAGCUCACUGGUCGAGUCGGCCUGCGCGGAAGAUGUAACGGGGCUAAACCAUGCACCGAAGCUGCGGCAGCGACGCUGAUGCGUUGUUGGGUAGGGGAGCGUUCUGUAAGCCUGCGAAGGUGUGCUGUGAGGCAUGCUGGAGGUAUCAGAAGUGCGAAUGCUGACAUAAGUAACGAUAAAGCGGGUGAAAAGCCCGCUCGCCGGAAGACCAAGGGUUCCUGUCCAACGUUAAUCGGGGCAGGGUGAGUCGACCCCUAAGGCGAGGCCGAAAGGCGUAGUCGAUGGGAAACAGGUUAAUAUUCCUGUACUUGGUGUUACUGCGAAGGGGGGACGGAGAAGGCUAUGUUGGCCGGGCGACGGUUGUCCCGGUUUAAGCGUGUAGGCUGGUUUUCCAGGCAAAUCCGGAAAAUCAAGGCUGAGGCGUGAUGACGAGGCACUACGGUGCUGAAGCAACAAAUGCCCUGCUUCCAGGAAAAGCCUCUAAGCAUCAGGUAACAUCAAAUCGUACCCCAAACCGACACAGGUGGUCAGGUAGAGAAUACCAAGGCGCUUGAGAGAACUCGGGUGAAGGAACUAGGCAAAAUGGUGCCGUAACUUCGGGAGAAGGCACGCUGAUAUGUAGGUGAAGUCCCUUGCGGAUGGAGCUGAAAUCAGUCGAAGAUACCAGCUGGCUGCAACUGUUUAUUAAAAACACAGCACUGUGCAAACACGAAAGUGGACGUAUACGGUGUGACGCCUGCCCGGUGCCGGAAGGUUAAUUGAUGGGGUCAGCGCAAGCGAA